AAAUUAUUUUAACAUUUAAUUAAAUUCAAAUUAAAAUAAAUAAAAUAUAAUGAUUAAACUAAUAUACAAUUUAAAUUUAAAUUAAUAAUUAGGCAAUUAAUUAGUUUUCAACUGUUUACCAAAAACAUAGUCUAAAGAAAAACAAUUUUAGAUAAAUUCUGCUCAAUGCCAAAUUUAAAUAGCUGCAGUAAGUUAACUGUACUAAGGUAGCAUAAUAAAUUGCUUUAUAAUUGAAAGCUUGAAUGAAGGAAACAAUGAAAAACAAACUUUUUAAACUAAAAAAGUAAAAAUUAAUAUUUAAGUGAAAAAUCUUAAAUUAAAUCAAAAGACAAGAAGACCCUUUAGAACUUUACAAGUCGCAUCAUCUUAAAUGAGUUGUAUUGUUAAAUUGGGGAGAUUUUUAAAUAAAUAAAUCUUUAAAUAUACCGAAAUGAAAUACCUCAAAUUAAAUUAUCCACAGAUGAAAUAAAACAAGUUACCUAAGGGAUAACAGCGCAAAAUUUUUGAGAAGUUCCCAUUCACAAAAUAAAUUGCGACCUCGAUGUUGGAUUAAGAAUAGCUUAUAGAGAAAAAUUUAUAAGGAUUGGUCUGUUCGCCCAAAUAACUCUUACAUGAUCUGAGUUCAGACCGGCGUAAGCCAGGUCAGUUUAUAUCUUUGAUUACUUA
RNAcentral lists this ribosomal RNA (666 nucleotides) under Bemisia tabaci. Its description in RNAcentral is "large subunit ribosomal RNA". The stretch from base 322 to 659 matches the Rfam family "Archaeal large subunit ribosomal RNA", at positions 2150 to 2716 of the family's 2987-position model. Lineage: Eukaryota; Metazoa; Arthropoda; Insecta; Hemiptera; Aleyrodidae. The record is from RNAcentral.